RNAcentral lists this ribosomal RNA (252 nucleotides) under uncultured bacterium. RNAcentral's name for it is "partial 16S ribosomal RNA". It matches the Rfam family "Bacterial small subunit ribosomal RNA", at positions 524 to 776 of the family's 1533-position model. The record is from RNAcentral.
UACGGAGGAUGCGGGCGUUAUCCGGAUUUAUUGGGUUUAAAGGGUGCGUAGGCGGGUUAUCAAGUCAGCGGUAAAAUCGUGGAGCUCAACUCCAUCCAGCCGUUGAAACUGAUGAUCUUGAGUGGGUGAGAAGUAUGCGGAAUGCGUGGUGUAGCGGUGAAAUGCAUAGAUAUCACGCAGAACUCCGAUUGCGAAGGCAGCAUACCGGCGCCCGACUGACGCUGAAGCACGAAAGCGUGGGUAUCGAACAGG